Molecule: long non-coding RNA, 1626 nt
Filed under: Homo sapiens (human)
Lineage: Eukaryota; Metazoa; Chordata; Mammalia; Primates; Hominidae
Description: HSALNT0026810
Source: RNAcentral
GAGUGGUUAGCAGUCUAUUUUUGAGACGUAAGAAGUGAAGAUCAGACGUCUUCUCCAGUAACUCACCUUUAGCCAAUCAAAGCACAGAAUCAUAGUUUCUGCCUGGGCCAUGGUCCUGCCUCCCUCUGGCUGUCUGAGCAAACCGGCGAAGAGGGCACUGACUCGGAAAUCUGGCAGCGGAGGAUGGUGGAGAGACCACUGGACGUGUCAAGUGGCUGGUCCAAAUUCCAGCUCUGUCAGCUCCUGGCUCUUGGUCCGUGGGAGAGCUUGAAAUAAUCUCAAUUUUCCUGUUUGUAAGAAAAUAAAAUAAGGAACUAGUACAUCCGUUUAAGGGUUGUUGGGAGAACUAAAUCAAAUAAUGUGUGCGAGAGCAUUUCACAUAGAGCUUCGUAUGUAGUCUUAAUAAAUAUUGAAGUUUAAAACUCUAGUGUCAGGCCUCUGAGCCCAAGCCUGCACAUAUUCAUCCAGAUGGGCUGAAGCAAGUGAAGAAUCACAAAAGAAGUGAAAAUGGCCGGUUCCUGCCUUAACUGAUGACAUUACCUUGUGAAAUUCCUUCUCCUGGCUCAUCCUGGCUCAAAAACUCCCACACUGAGCACCUUGUGACCCCCGCCCCUGCCAGCCAGAGAGCAACCCACUUUGACUGUAAUUUUCCUUUACCUACCCACAUCCUAUAAGACGGCCCCACCCCAUCUCCCUUCGCUGACUCUCUUUUCAGACUCAGCCCGCCUGCACCCAGGUGAAAUAAGCAGCAUUGUUGCUCACACAAAGCCUGUUUGGUGGUCUCUUCACACGGACACAUGUGGAAUCUAGAAUAUUAGAUAGAGUGCUUUGCAAUUUCCAACUGAAGUGGGUUUUCAGUUUCCUUAUUUUUGACGAAUUAGCACCACAGCAAUUAAUAUUAAAAUCGAUGUGAUCGCAUAUCUCCUUUAGGGUACACAAUUAGCUUAAGCCAUCUUAAAUGCCAAGAGACUGAGCAAAUCUGAAACCUUAUUUAAAUUAAUAUUAACACGUGCCUAUAAAGUGGUGAUGUAGAGUGAUAAGGGUAGAAUUUGGAGUCACGUAAAACGGGUUUGAAUUGCUAACAGCUUGACCUUGCACGAGCCAUUAGUUUAUCUUCCCAGUGUCCUUAUUUACAAUGUCUCUGUCAGGAAAGUAUGUCACAUAUUUGUAAAAAGAAUUAAGUUACAUAAUUCAACUAAUGUAGAAUCUGUUACACAGUAAGCACUUAAUAAAUGCUAGUUUUCAUAUAUGCAUGUAAAUGACCAAUUAAAAAUAUACAUCGAGAGAGUGUUGUGUAUGUGUCCAUGUGCAUGCGCUUCUCUGUCCCACUUUUAUUCAGUUCUCAUUUCUACCAUUCCAAUAUAGCUUUGUCUUUUUCUCCCACUGAAAUUGUGUGUCCACUGGUGUGACUGCUGUUUAAUGGCUUGACGUCAUGGAAGGCAUAACCUGCUGUGGCAUCUCAGCUCUGCCUUUUUCCAAAGGAUACCAUUUCCUCUGCCUUCCACUCUAUUACUCUGCAUCCCUAUCUGAAAUUUCUUCUUCUUUCUGAAAUUCCGCCCCACUUUGUCAUGCCCGUCUUUAAAAGGUAGAUUUAAAAUGGUUGUAUACAUGAGAAACCAGACUUUG